GGGGAAUUUUCCGCAAUGGGCGAAAGCCUGACGGAGCAAUGCCGCGUGGAGGAGGAAGGCCUGAGGGUUGUAAACUCCUUUUCUCAGAAAAGAAGAUCUGACGGUAUCUGAGGAAUAAGCAUCGGCUAACUCCGUGCCAGCAGCCGCGGUAAGACGGAGGAUGCAAGCGUUAUUCGGAAUGAUUGGGCGUAAAGCGUCUGUAGGUGGUUUAUUAAGUCUGCUGUUAAAGCACAGGGCUCAACCCUGUAUAGGCGGUAGAAACUGGUAGGCUUGAGUAUGGUAGGGGUAGAGGGAAUUCCCGAUGUAGUGGUGAAAUGCGUUGAUAUCGGGAAGAACACCGAAGGCGAAAGCACUCUGCUGGGCCAAUACUGACACUAAGAGACGAAAGCUAGGGGAGCAAAUGGGAUUAGAUACCCCAGUAGUC
RNAcentral lists this ribosomal RNA (424 nucleotides) under uncultured cyanobacterium. Its description in RNAcentral is "bacterial SSU rRNA". It matches the Rfam family "Bacterial small subunit ribosomal RNA", at positions 356 to 795 of the family's 1533-position model. Lineage: Bacteria; Bacillati; Cyanobacteriota. The record is from RNAcentral.